Molecule: long non-coding RNA, 309 nt
Filed under: Gouania willdenowi (blunt-snouted clingfish)
Lineage: Eukaryota; Metazoa; Chordata; Actinopteri; Blenniiformes; Gobiesocidae
Description: lncRNA (ENSGWIG00000022888.1)
Source: RNAcentral
GCGCAUGUGCGAGCAUGCGCAUAUUCAAUCUUAGUACGACGCGCACUCAGUACAUGACACCGGAAGUGUUUAAGUGGUGGCCAUGAUUUUCCUAACUCCGUAACGUCUUCCCCGGGGUUAAGGAAAAAUGGAUAGGAAAGGAGAUAGGAGGAACUAUUCGGACGCAGCCUUAAUCAAUGGAAGGAGUUACCGGUGCUUUCCUGAGGUUUACUGGAAAGACACGACGCUGAUUUUAUAGAAAUGGAUACAAAGAGAAGAAGUGGGAAGCCCAACAGAGGAGGAGGACGUUUUAACAGAGGAAGAGGAGGA